Molecule: long non-coding RNA, 518 nt
Filed under: Physcomitrium patens
Lineage: Eukaryota; Viridiplantae; Streptophyta; Bryopsida; Funariales; Funariaceae
Description: long non-coding RNA (PPAT_LNC000011)
Source: RNAcentral
AGCUAACUUUUAUUACAAACUAUUCUUAACUAUUUUUUAAAGAUAUCUUCAUUAUUAAUUUUUUUAAUCUAUUUUUUCUCUUAUUUAUAAUAAUACAAUGUAAGUAGAUUUUUUUCUAUUUUUACAAUAGAUAAUAUUAAUAUUAAAUAUUUUACUACCUCCUUAUAUUUUUACAUAUAUUUUAAUACUAUAUUUUUUUAAUUAAGCUCUUGUAUGAUAGAAUUCAUAUUUCUCUUAUACCAUAUUGUUGCAUUACAAUAAAACUCUCUUAUCAUCUAUCCAUAUUUCUCAUGUCUUCUUAUUCCAAGUUCCUCCAAUCCUCAUCUUGACCUUUCCGUUUCCAACUUCCAUCUUUGUUCCAACCCCUCCCUUCUUCCUCCAACUCUAUCCCUUUGUCACAGACACAGAAAUACAGACUUGAGAUCUAACAAGAAGUUCAAGAAGAACUGGCAAGAACUAGAUUAAUCAGAUGAAUACAAGAAGAACACCAGAGAAGUGAGCUAGACCUCCAAGAGAUG